GAUGAACGCUGGCGGCGUGCCUAAUACAUGCAAGUCGAGCGAACGGACGAGAAGCUUGCUUCUCUGAUGUUAGCGGCGGACGGUGAGUAACACGUGGAUAACCUACCUAUAAGACUGGGAUAACUUCGGGAAACCGGAGCUAAUACCGGAUAAUAUUUUGAACCGCAUGGUUCAAAAGUGAAAGACGGUCUUGCUGUCACUUAUAGAUGGAUCCGCGCUGCAUUAGCUAGUUGGUAAGGUAACGGCUUACCAAGGCAACGAUGCAUAGCCGACCUGAGAGGGUGAUCGGCCACACUGGAACUGAGACACGGUCCAGACUCCUACGGGAGGCAGCAGUAGGGAAUCUUCCGCAAGGGGCGAAAGCCUGACGGAGCAACGCCGCGUGAGUGAUGAAGGUCUUCGGAUCGUAAAACUCUGUUAUUAGGGAAGAACAUAUGUGUAAGUAACUGUGCACAUCUUGACGGUACCGAAGCAGAAAGCCACGGCUAACUACGG
Molecule: ribosomal RNA, 495 nt
Filed under: uncultured bacterium
Lineage: Bacteria
Description: partial 16S ribosomal RNA
Rfam family: Bacterial small subunit ribosomal RNA
Source: RNAcentral